GUAGGUGGCAAGCGUUGUCCGGGAAUUAUUGGGGCGUAAAGCGCGCGCAGGCGGUUCUUUAAGUCUGAUGUGAAAGCCCACGGGCUCAACCGUGGAGGGUCAUUGGAAACUGGAGAACUUGAGUACAGAAGAGGAAAGCGGAAUUCCACGUGUAGCGGUGAAAUGCGUAGAGAUGUGGAGGAACACCAGUGGCGAAGGCGGCUUUCUGGUCUGUAACUGACGCUGAGGCGCGAAAGCGUGGGGAGCAAACAGGAUUAGAUACCCUGGUAGUCCACGCCGUAAACGAUGAGUGCUAAGUGUUAGGGGGUUUCCGCCCAUUAGUGCUGCAGCUAACGCAUUAAGCACUCCGCCUGGGGAGUACGGCCGCAAAGGCUG
RNAcentral lists this ribosomal RNA (375 nucleotides) under uncultured organism. RNAcentral's name for it is "partial 16S ribosomal RNA". It matches the Rfam family "Bacterial small subunit ribosomal RNA", at positions 527 to 896 of the family's 1533-position model. The record is from RNAcentral.